GCCGGAGUGGCGGAAUGGCAGACGCGGCCGACUUAAAAUCGGCUGCCCGCAAGGGCGUGGGGGUUCGAAUCCCUCCUUCGGCACCA
RNAcentral lists this transfer RNA (86 nucleotides) under Chloroflexota bacterium. RNAcentral's name for it is "tRNA-Leu". It matches the Rfam family "tRNA". Rfam says of the family: Transfer RNA (tRNA) molecules are approximately 80 nucleotides in length. Their secondary structure includes four short double-helical elements and three loops (D, anti-codon, and T loops). The record is from RNAcentral. Lineage: Bacteria; Bacillati; Chloroflexota.